GAGUUUGAUCCUGGCUCAGGAUGAACGCUAGCGGGAGGCUUAACACAUGCAAGUCGUGGGGCAGCAUAAUGUAGCAAUACGUUGAUGGCGACCGGCGCACGGGUGAGUAACGCGUAUGCAACCUACCCUGUACAGGGGGAUAGCCCGGAGAAAUUCGGAUUAAUACCCCAUAAAGAUAUGAGAAGGCAUCUUUUUAUAUUUAAAGUUUUGGCGGUACGGGAUGGGCAUGCGUAACAUUAGCUAGUUGGUAGGGUAACGGCCUACCAAGGCAACGAUGUUUAGGGGUCCUGAGAGGGUGAUCCCCCACACUGGUACUGAGACACGGACCAGACUCCUACGGGAGGCAGCAGUGAGGAAUAUUGGUCAAUGGGCGCAAGCCUGAACCAGCCAUCCCGCGUGAAGGAAGAAGGCGCUAUGCGUCGUAAACUUCUUUUCCGGAGGAAUAAAAUUUAGUACGGGUACUGAACUGAAGGUACUCUGGGAAUAAGCAUCGGCUAACUCCGUGCCAGCAGCCGCGGUAAUACGGAGGAUGCAAGCGUUAUCCGGAUUUAUUGGGUUUAAAGGGUGCGUAGGCGGAUUAAUAAGUCAGUGGUGAAAACCUUCAGCUUAACUGGAGACUUGCCAUUGAUACUGUCAGUCUUGAGGAUGGUCAAGGUAGGCGGAAUGUGUAAUGUAGCGGUGAAAUGCUUAGAUAUUACACAGAACACCGAUGGCGAAGGCAGCUUACUGGGCCAUAUCUGACGCUGAUGCACGAAAGCGUGGGGAUCGAACAGGAUUAGAUACCCUGGUAGUC
This 793-nucleotide ribosomal RNA is filed under the name uncultured bacterium. RNAcentral describes it as "bacterial SSU rRNA". It matches the Rfam family "Bacterial small subunit ribosomal RNA", at positions 9 to 795 of the family's 1533-position model. The record is from RNAcentral.